This 323-nucleotide ribosomal RNA is filed under the name uncultured Pseudomonadota bacterium. Its description in RNAcentral is "bacterial SSU rRNA". It matches the Rfam family "Bacterial small subunit ribosomal RNA", at positions 30 to 351 of the family's 1533-position model. The record is from RNAcentral. Lineage: Bacteria; Pseudomonadati; Pseudomonadota.
AUUGAACGCUGGCGGCAUGCUUUACACAUGCAAGUCGAACGGCAGCACGAGUGCUUGCACUUGGUGGCGAGUGGCGGACGGGUGAGUAAUACAUCGGAACGUGUCCAAUAAUGGGGGAUAACGCACCGAAAGGUGUGCUAAUACCGCAUACGCCCUGAGGGGGAAAGCGGGGGAUCGUAAGACCUCGCGUUAAUGGAGCGGCCGAUGCCGGAUUAGCUAGUUGGUGAGGUAAAGGCUCACCAAGGCGACGAUCCGUAGCUGGUCUGAGAGGACGACCAGCCACACUGGAACUGAGACACGGUCCAGACACCUACGGGUGGCAG